This 547-nucleotide ribosomal RNA is filed under the name Bifidobacterium pseudocatenulatum. RNAcentral's name for it is "bacterial SSU rRNA". It matches the Rfam family "Bacterial small subunit ribosomal RNA", at positions 153 to 711 of the family's 1533-position model. Lineage: Bacteria; Bacillati; Actinomycetota; Actinomycetes; Bifidobacteriales; Bifidobacteriaceae. The record is from RNAcentral.
AAAAAGGGUGGUAAUGCCGGAUGCUCCGACUCCUCGCAUGGGGUGUCGGGAAAGAUUUCAUCGGUAUGGGAUGGGGUCGCGUCCUAUCAGGUAGUCGGCGGGGUAACGGCCCACCGAGCCUACGACGGGUAGCCGGCCUGAGAGGGCGACCGGCCACAUUGGGACUGAGAUACGGCCCAGACUCCUACGGGAGGCAGCAGUGGGGAAUAUUGCACAAUGGGCGCAAGCCUGAUGCAGCGACGCCGCGUGCGGGAUGACGGCCUUCGGGUUGUAAACCGCUUUUGAUCGGGAGCAAGCCUUCGGGUGAGUGUACCUUUCGAAUAAGCACCGGCUAACUACGUGCCAGCAGCCGCGGUAAUACGUAGGGUGCAAGCGUUAUCCGGAAUUAUUGGGCGUAAAGGGCUCGUAGGCGGUUCGUCGCGUCCGGUGUGAAAGUCCAUCGCUUAACGGUGGAUCUGCGCCGGGUACGGGCGGGCUGGAGUGCGGUAGGGGAGACUGGAAUUCCCGGUGUAACGGUGGAAUGUGUAGAUAUCGGAAAAAAACACCA